GAUGAACGCUGGCGGCGUGCCUAAUACAUGCAAGUCGAGCGAACAGACGAGGAGCUUGCUCCUCUGACGUUAGCGGCGGACGGGUGAGUAACACGUGGAUAACCUACCUAUAAGACUGGGAUAACUUCGGGAAACCGGAGCUAAUACCGGAUAAUAUAUUGAACCGCAUGGUUCAAUAGUGAAAGACGGUUUUGCUGUCACUUAUAGAUGGAUCCGCGCCGCGUUAGCUAGUUGGUAAGGUAACGGCUUACCAAGGCAACGAUGCGUAGCCGACCUGAGAGGGUGAUCGGCCACACUGGAACUGAGACACGGUCCAGACUCCUACGGGAGGCAGCAGUAGGGAAUCUUCCGCAAUGGGCGAAAGCCUGACGGAGCAACGCCGCGUGAGUGAUGAAGGUCUUCGGAUCGUAAAACUCUGUUAUUAGGGAAGAACAAAUGUGUAAGUAACUAUGCACGUCUUGACGGUACCUAAUCAGAAAGCCACGGCUAACUACGCG
RNAcentral lists this ribosomal RNA (497 nucleotides) under uncultured bacterium. Its description in RNAcentral is "partial 16S ribosomal RNA". It matches the Rfam family "Bacterial small subunit ribosomal RNA", at positions 28 to 507 of the family's 1533-position model. The record is from RNAcentral.